Molecule: ribosomal RNA, 499 nt
Filed under: uncultured bacterium
Lineage: Bacteria
Description: partial 16S ribosomal RNA
Rfam family: Bacterial small subunit ribosomal RNA
Source: RNAcentral
AUUGAACGCUGGCGGCAUGCCUUACACAUGCAAGUCGAACGGCAGCACGGGGGCAACCCUGGUGGCGAGUGGCGAACGGGUGAGUAAUACAUCGGAACGUGUCCUGUAGUGGGGGAUAGCCCGGCGAAAGCCGGAUUAAUACCGCAUACGAUCUACGGAGGAAAGCGGGGGAUCUUCGGACCUCGCGCUGCAGGGGCGGCCGAUGGCAGAUUAGCUAGUUGGUGGGGUAAAGGCCUACCAAGGCGACGAUCUGUAGCUGGUCUGAGAGGACGACCAGCCACACGGGGAAUGAGACAAGGCCCAGACUCCUACGGGAGGCAGCAGUGGGGAAUUUUGGACAAUGGGGCAACCCUGAGCCAGCAAUGCCGCGUGUGUGAAGAAGGCCUUCGGGUUGUAAAGCACUUUUGUCCGGAAAGAAAACGUCUUGGUUAAUACCUGAGGCGGAUGACGGUACCGGAAGAAUAAGGACCGGCUAACUACGUGCCAGCAGCCGCCGCAG